CGAAGGGGGCAAGCGUUGUUCGGAAUUACUGGGCGUAAAGGGCGCGUAGGCGGCUCUUUUAGUCAGGUGUGAAAGCCCUGGGCUCAACCUGGGAGUGGCACUUGAUACUGGAGGGCUAGAGAGUGGGAGAGGUUGGUGGAAUUCCCAGUGUAGAGGUGAAAUUCGUAGAUAUUGGGAAGAACACCGGUGGCGAAGGCGGCCAACUGGACCAUUUCUGACGCUGAGGCGCGAAAGCGUGGGGAGCAAACAGGAUUAGAUACCCUGGUAGUCCACGCUGUAAACGAUGAGUGCUGGACGUUGCGGAGCUUGCUCUGCGGUGUUGUAGCUAACGCGAUAAGCACUCCGCCUGGGGAUACGGCCGCAAGGUUG
Molecule: ribosomal RNA, 369 nt
Filed under: uncultured organism
Description: bacterial SSU rRNA
Rfam family: Bacterial small subunit ribosomal RNA
Source: RNAcentral